Parasteatoda tepidariorum (common house spider) is the source of this 443-nucleotide non-coding RNA. The record is from RefSeq and is a predicted model, not a curated record. NCBI's taxonomy places the organism in Eukaryota, Metazoa, Arthropoda, Arachnida, Araneae, Theridiidae.
UGAUCUGCUGGGAACUGUGUCUUAACGAUCUGCGGGACACUAAUCAUUUAGAAAAGUAAGUGAUGUGAUAAACCACAAUGUUUCUUUUCUUUUUUUUACUCUUUUGAACCGUUAGUACAGUUUUGUUUUGCCCUACCUCGCUCCUUCUUGCAUCUGCGAGAGAUGAUAAACCAAGGCAAUUUAUUUAUUAAAAAGCUAAGUAGCAUACCACUUUAAUGCGACCUCAAAACGUUUUCUGAAGGUGAAAAUUUACAAUCCGGAACCGGAAAUGGAUGGAAUAACGGCAACCGGGAGAGAGAGCAGAGAGUAGUCUUGAACAUGGCUGGUUUGUGUUUAUGUUCUUCUAGAUUUUUAGCAAAAAAUAUUAAAAACAUUAAACAAUCGUACUUAACCAGAGUUUUAAACAAGAACAAAUCGCAUCGGACAUAUAUUUGUGCAACUGG